Megalobrama amblycephala (Wuchang bream) is the source of this 458-nucleotide long non-coding RNA. RefSeq lists it as uncharacterized. The transcript is spliced from 3 exons. The record is from RefSeq and is a predicted model, not a curated record. Lineage: Eukaryota; Metazoa; Chordata; Actinopteri; Cypriniformes; Xenocyprididae.
AUUUGGUUAAAGCAGAACUUUUUUUAAGUAUAGCCGCACAGUAAAAAAAAAAAAACAUGCAAUUCUGUAGUGAAAAGAUUCUGAAGGUUACAUGGGUUCAUGGUAAAUAAAAUCUGAAUUGACCACCUUAAUCAAUUGUGUACACAAUUUAGAGCUAUUAUAAUUUUCAGAGGUGAUAUACUUUCUGAAAAUGUAUUUUUCCUUUCAGAUAUGGUAUUGUUAUCUUCGCUGGGAUUGAUGGUUAUUCACGAAAGAUAAUGUACCUGGGUUCUGCAAAUAAUAACAAGGCAUCAACAGCACUUGGCUUCUUCAUGAGCUCAGUUGAAAAGUUUGGCUUUCCAUUAAGAGUUAGAGGAGACCAAGGGGUCGAAAAUGUUGGCAUUGCUCAAUGCAUGUUCACUGUUCGUGGCUGUGGCAGAGCAAGCUACAUAUCGGGAAAAAGUGUGCAUAAUCAAAGG